GAAAAGCUCAUGCAAGUGCAACCAUGGAAGAAUUUGGGUUCAACCUACCUAUCUCUGGUUUUUAAGUCGGUUUGAGCUACACAAGAAGAACUAAGAGGAAAACAAAGCAUAGAAUUUUCGUGCAAAUCAGAAGGAUCUCUGCUUUUCUCUGGUUUUUCGAACAUUCUGGGGUGUACAGGAGAAAGGUAGAGGGUAGCAGAGAAGCACGAAUCUUUAUUCGCUGUGUUCAAGGGAUUUCUGGACAAAUCCGUUGGGAAUCUCGUUUUUAUUCCUUCAGUUACGUUUUAGAGGGUUCCAAAAUGAAGAGUUUGAUAUAAAGUAAGUUAAUUUUGGUCAAGUAUUGAGGAAGUUAUGAGUGUUGGAAGUUAGGAUAUUGAAUCUUGAAAAUCUGGAAAGAAAAUGUGAAGUGUGAUUUUAUUUCUAGAAUUUAGAAUUCAUGAGCAUGGAAAGACAAGACGAUUUAUAGUUCUGAUGCUCGGUUUCGGUUGUUUGACAGGCCAAGAGGAAAUAGGCCGAGUCUACAGACCAGGGAACUAGCCAAGACUGUUAUAUUCCGUUGUUGACGUUGAGUGUACUCCGUGACAACGAUGCUGUCGGGAGUGCUGGGCGGGCCCCACUACGAAAAAGGCUAUGGGAGUGCUGGGCGGGCCCCACUACAUCGUAGAGCUAGUAAACGUUGGUUGUACUGGGCGUGCCCUGCACAACGUAGAUUUUUCAUGUAGAGAUCGAGCUCCCGGUGCCUAAUAACUGCCAAAGUCUGUUUUCUCCUAAAAACUUCCAGAUCAAGCUUCAUACGUGGGUGGAGUUGUAGGCUGUGUCUGUUUAUACUGUAAAUGUCUUUGUAAGAACUGGAUAGUUUAGGGUUGUGUAAGCACUAGAUGUCGUGGUUGUGUAAACCCCAAUUGGAUAUGUUUUUUGUUGUGAUAUCUGUAUCAGGUUAUUUUCCAAACCGAGUUAUGUCAGGACUGAACUUCAUGUGUGUCUAAAGGCUUUCAUGGA
Benincasa hispida (wax gourd) is the source of this 999-nucleotide non-coding RNA. Lineage: Eukaryota; Viridiplantae; Streptophyta; Magnoliopsida; Cucurbitales; Cucurbitaceae. The record is from RefSeq and is a predicted model, not a curated record.